Molecule: ribosomal RNA, 1379 nt
Filed under: uncultured bacterium
Lineage: Bacteria
Description: 16S ribosomal RNA
Rfam family: Bacterial small subunit ribosomal RNA
Source: RNAcentral
UUCGCCCUUAGAGUUUGAUCCUGGCUCAGGAUGAACGCUGGCGGCGCGCCUAACACAUGCAAGUCGAACGAGCGAGAGAGAGCUUGCUUUCUCAAGCGAGUGGCGAACGGGUGAGUAACGCGUGAGGAACCUGCCUCAAAGAGGGGGACAACAGUUGGAAACGACUGCUAAUACCGCAUAAGCCCACGGGUCGGCAUCGACCAGAGGGAAAAGGAGCAAUCCGCUUUGAGAUGGCCUCGCGUCCGAUUAGCUAGUUGGUGAGGUAAUGGCCCACCAAGGCAACGAUCGGUAGCCGGACUGAGAGGUUGAACGGCCACAUUGGGACUGAGACACGGCCCAGACUCCUACGGGAGGCAGCAGUGGGGAAUAUUGCACAAUGGGGGAAACCCUGAUGCAGCGACGCCGCGUGGAGGAAGAAGGUCUUCGGAUUGUAAACUCCUGUUGUUGAGGAAGAUAAUGACGGUACUCAACAAGGAAGUGACGGCUAACUACGUGCCAGCAGCCGCGGUAAAACGUAGGUCACAAGCGUUGUCCGGAAUUACUGGGUGUAAAGGGAGCGCAGGCGGGAAGACAAGUUGGAAGUGAAAUCUAUGGGCUCAACCCAUAAACUGCUUUCAAAACUGUUUUUCUUGAGUAGUGCAGAGGUAGGCGGAAUUCCCGGUGUAGCGGUGGAAUGCGUAGAUAUCGGGAGGAACACCAGUGGCGAAGGCGGCCUACUGGGCACCAACUGACGCUGAGGCUCGAAAGUGUGGGUAGCAAACAGGAUUAGAUACCCUGGUAGUCCACACCGUAAACGAUGAUUACUAGGUGUUGGAGGAUUGACCCCUUCAGUGCCGCAGUUAACACAAUAAGUAAUCCACCUGGGGAGUACGACCGCAAGGUUGAAACUCAAAGGAAUUGACGGGGGCCCGCACAAGCAGUGGAGUAUGUGGUUUAAUUCGACGCAACGCGAAGAACCUUACCAAGUCUUGACAUCCCUUGACGAACAUAGAAAUAUGUUUUCUCUUCGGAGCAAGGAGACAGGUGGUGCAUGGUUGUCGUCAGCUCGUGUCGUGAGAUGUUGGGUUAAGUCCCGCAACGAGCGCAACCCUUACUGUCAGUUACUACGCAAGAGGACUCUGGCAGGACUGCCGUUGACAAAACGGAGGAAGGUGGGGAUGACGUCAAAUCAUCAUGCCCUUUAUGACUUGGGCUACACACGUACUACAAUGGCGUUAAACAAAGAGAAGCAAGACCGCGAGGUGGAGCAAAACUCAGAAACAACGUCCCAGUUCGGACUGCAGGCUGCAACUCGCCUGCACGAAGUCGGAAUUGCUAGUAAUCGUGGAUCAGCAUGCCACGGUGAAUACGUUCCCGGGCCUUGUACACACCGCCCGUCA